GUUCUUAUAGUUGAACAACAACAAUGUCUUUUCAAGACAUAAGCCUUGGUUAGACCCCAAGUAAGAACU
RNAcentral lists this transfer RNA (69 nucleotides) under Gadomus longifilis (threadfin grenadier). RNAcentral's name for it is "tRNA-Glu". It matches the Rfam family "tRNA". From Rfam's summary of the family: Transfer RNA (tRNA) molecules are approximately 80 nucleotides in length. Their secondary structure includes four short double-helical elements and three loops (D, anti-codon, and T loops). Further hydrogen bonds mediate the characteristic L-shaped molecular structure. tRNAs have two regions of fundamental functional importance: the anti-codon, which is responsible for specific mRNA codon recognition, and the 3' end, to which the tRNAs corresponding amino acid is attached (by aminoacyl-tRNA synthetases). tRNAs cope with the degeneracy of the genetic code in two manners: having more than one tRNA (with a specific anti-codon) for a particular amino acid; and 'wobble' base-pairing, i.e. permitting non-standard base-pairing at the 3rd anti-codon position. Lineage: Eukaryota; Metazoa; Chordata; Actinopteri; Gadiformes; Macrouridae. The record is from RNAcentral.